GGGGCCCGCACAAGCAGCGGAGCGUGUGGUUUAAUUCGAUGCAACACGAAGAACCUUACCAGGGCUUGACAUGUUGGAAGUAGUGAACCGAAAGGGGAACGACCUGUUAAGUCAGGAGCCAUCACAGGUGCUGCAUGGCUGUCGUCGGCUCGUGCCGUGAGGUGUCGGGUUAAGUCCCAUAACGAGCGCAACCCCUGUUGCCAGUUAAUUUCUCUGGCGAGACUGCCCCGCAAACGGGAGGAAGGCGGGGAUGACGUCAAGUCAGCAUGGCCCUUAUGUCCUGGGCUACACACACGCUACAAUGGGUGGUACAACAGGUUGCAAUGGAGCAAUCCGGAGCUAAUCCUAAAAAACCAUCCUCAGUUCGGAUUGUAGGCUGAAAUUCGCCUGCAUGAAGUCGGAGUUGCUAGUAACCGCGUGUCAGAAUGGCGCGGUGAAUACGUUCUCGGGCCUU
RNAcentral lists this ribosomal RNA (454 nucleotides) under uncultured Chloroflexota bacterium. Its description in RNAcentral is "bacterial SSU rRNA". It matches the Rfam family "Bacterial small subunit ribosomal RNA", at positions 916 to 1382 of the family's 1533-position model. Lineage: Bacteria; Bacillati; Chloroflexota. The record is from RNAcentral.